AAGUUGACCCAUCUAAAUACUAAAGGAAGAAAUCUCCAACUUAUUGCGAAAUUAUGGGUCUUAGUUCACACUUGAAAUUGAUUGGAAAAAGGAAAAUUUAGAGAAGAUAAAUCACUGUCGACAAAUUUUUGUCUUAAACUUUUUACUUACGAGAUAAAUUUUUUCUUAAAAGGUAAAGUUGAAUGUCCCCCUGCACAUAAGCGCCUAUUGUGGCUUGUAGGUCGACUAAUUAUCUUAUUAUCUCAUAAGAAGUUAUGCCGAAACCGUCCUCUUUUAGUUUUGCCAAAAUCAAUUUGACAAAAAGAUUCCACAACAGUCGAUUGGUUGCUUACUUGAACUUAAUGGGUGCAGGCAAAGAAUCGCAGUCCCCUAUGACUAAAAGUUAGGCACAAGGCUACUAUUCACAUCUGCCAGACAGCAUCAGCGUAUCAGAAAAAGAGGAGCGGAUUACUAAUCACUUGUGAAGUUGAUAAAAGUUCAACAGAAAAAAGAAGCAUGAAUGCUGUAACUAUUUUUCCAGCAAAAUAAGUUCGACCACACAGGAGUGCAGAGACGACAGCUGCAAUUUACAGAAGCGGAGAGUUCCGGUUCACCACAGAGUGCAACAUUAUAGUGUAUUCAAUCUGUCUCUACCGUUAAAUAGAGAGCUGAGGGUAUCAAUUUUCUACCGUUCUUAAUUCUAAUCGCUAGAAAUUAUGGUACCAAAAUAUCUUAAAGAUACGAGUAUCUCUGUUCAAAAAAAGAAAAAAAAAAACAUCAAACAAAUGAAAUCAACAGAUCCACUCAAAACUAAUUUAGCUUUUAGCGACAGUAAUUCACGCCAAAACUCAGAAGAGAGAGAGAGAGAGAGAGAGAGAGAGAGAGAGAGAACACGGGUGGCGAGCUCGCAAGACUGAGUGUUGUCGAUGAUGGAACCGGACUCGCCUCCGCCUUCGCUGCAGCUGCCGCCGCCGCCGCCGAGGAGCUCACUCUGAGGCUCGACACCGCUCGUCUCCGCUUCAGCUUCGUGCCGUCUUUUCUUCUUCGCCAUUCCUGCUCUCCGAUAUCACAAAGUUCCGAUUUUUCGACAAGGUACGAGGUCGACUGGUGAAGGGUUUAGGCGUCGAUGUUGGUGGUGGUAUUGCGUUUCAGGAUCUGAGGCCUGACAGUUGCAUAGAUGGAAGUGGAUGAGCAGGGCUUUAGCAUGAACGUUCUCGGCCUUUGAGAUCGGCAGAAGAGAGACAAAGACUCCUAUCAAACGGUGAAUUCAGCCUCCCUCGCCGGGCCUCAAAACGGGAGGCGGGCUCGGGCUACGCUACACCAAAACGGAAAGUUGAGUGAUAUGGACGGCCCUGAUUUCUCCGGCUACCGAAUGGAGAAUCCUCGCUGUCGACUGUCGAGUGAAAGGGCUGGUUAAGUUUCUUGGGCCUUAACGUUGGUGAUUGGAGAUGGGCAAGGCCCACAAUCCAUGUGGGGAAUGCAGCGCAUAAAACGAGCAGUCUGGCCCAAGGCCUUAAGAUCCACAGCAGAAGCAAUACGAAAAACCCUUCUACGUUGGAAGCUUAGCCUGGAUUCGAUAGUAACACAAUCGGGAGAAGAAAUAUUUGUACUGAUGUUUUCUGAUUAUUACAUAAGCAUAAGGAGCUUGCAAUAUACAGAGUUUUGAGUUGCCGGCCAACCACUGAAAUCAGGUGCGCAACUUACAUUUACAUUCUCUACCAUUAACCAAACUCAGAAGUCCAAGAGAUAAAAGUAUCCUGAAAACAACAAAAAGAUACUCGGACAAGUUGGAUUCCGCAAGAUCAGACUGCCUCUCUUCCUUCAUAUCCUCCACCGAUCAUCAGAACUCAGAGAAUCUUCUACCUUCUCACGCUUGUGUAUACAAAAAGAUUUUAGCUUCUUGAAGCUUGAUGGAUCCGGUUUAGUCUGCCUUGGAUCUCGACCACUUUAGGACAUCACUGCAGAUAAAAUUUCUGGAGCUUCUUCAAGUUGGUCAGGUCAGGCAACUUGUCCAUAGAUGGUACUCCUCCAAGCUUGAAGGCACUUGGGUUCUCCAAAACUCGGAGGCCUCUGAACUCACUUUAGGGCAAUGAAGCCGAGUUAUCCAGACAAGUGGAAAGGAAAGAACGGCUUAUACUGCGUGGGACUGUUGAGGAGAGGGUUCUUGGGAGCUUCUCUCGACGCCCAGGGGCAACUUCCAAAUCUGACGGCGCCUUUGAAUUUGAAAGGUCUAUUGAUGUUUUUAUUUCCCUGCAUGAUUCAGUAUCUAAGUACAGCAAAUUUGGGGGAAGGCCAGGUCGGCAUUGCAGCUUCUUGGAGGGGACCAGUUCCCGUUCCUUGAGCUGUGAAAGAAGAAUGAUGUGUGAAGAUGGGGUGACGAAAUAAUGAGAUUUCAACAGCAAGGAUUCCAGCUUCCCUAACCUUCCAAGCUACCAAGGACUUGGAGCUUCAAUGAAUUUGAAAGCAUCAUCGAAAUUGUCAAAACCUGAAUUUUACAUAUAAUUUGAAUAUCGAAUUAAUAAAUAACUUAACAUCAAAUGAAUGUCUACAGUGAGAUCCUAACAGCAAGGAUUCUAGCUUCCCUAACCUUGUACAGAAUAUUCACCUUAAAAAGAUAUGUAGAAGCACAAAUCUACAUGUCCCUAAACUCCAAACCAACCAAUAUGUAUAAUAUUUUUUAGGGAGUGAGUUUAAGUUCAGUAAAUGAAAGCUCUACUUCCAAAAUGGGAGGCCUACUCACUACUUGAACCGAGAACACAACAAUAACAAUUGGCAAAUAAAGUCAUAUAUCAUUAUAUGACCAAAUCUCAUGAUGCAUAGAUAUCAGCAGCUCAUCGAUAUACACAAGUAAAUAUUUAUUCCCAACUCGUUAAUAGCCAUGACUCAUUCGACGGACUCAACCAACAAGAUAUCGUAACCACUAAAUAAUGCAGGACGAAAUCAUAAAUACAUACCACACUUCAACCCAUUCAUCACAUGUAUCCUCCAACGAUGAUAAAUACAGUAGAAACACAUAACGAUGCCUAUUCGUGGACUCAUUCUCAUCAAGAUUCAUACCCAUUCUAUUUUAUUUCUUUUCUCAAUCUUGGACCUUAAAUUCAUAACGUCAAGUAUGGGCUAUUUAAUUCACAUUAUGUCACGGAAGUCAUAUCAUUUCACGUAUGAAUCAUUGCACUUCAUGUCCUCCAACCCUAUAGAGACCCACCCUAAACAGUAGAAUAAUCAUUUUCUCCAGAGUCUUAUAUACAUACACAGGAAAAUUAACUGCAGUGCUGGUAUAUUACUAACAACACUUGCAGAAUUUCCAUGGAGUUGGUAAUUUACUUAAUUAUUAGAAUAUUGGUAAAUUCCUAAUAGUCUUGUUCAUUCACUUACGACAAUGGUAAAAUUUCAAAGGAGUUGAUAAUUUACGACUUCCUUAUAUCGAUAAAUUUCUGAUAGUGUUAGUAAUUUAUUUAAUAUUCAGGUAGAAUAUAAGAAGAUUUGGUAAUUUACCAAAUUAGUGGAAAUACGAUAAAUUUAUGAUUAUAUUGAUAAUUUACAACUGAUUCACCAAACAAGCAGGUAACCAGUCUUUUUUUUUUUUUAAACCAGCAAAAUUGGAAUUCUACCAACACGGAAAAUUUUCAAUUUUCCAACCCACGGCACCGUAGAAUUUUGCCCGGAAGUUUCUACAUCUCUACUUCUUCGACAAGAACUUAAAUCCCAACUGAUAAUUUCAAUUACUGAAACUUGAUACGUAGUCAUUAAUCAUUCAUAAGCCCCUGUAGAAAUCUGUUUUAAGUUAUGAAAACUAAAGGACCUUUGAGACCAUUGCACAUGAUCAUUAACUAGGGAGGGUUAUGUUCAUGCUAGGCACAAUGUUUUGCCCCUACUUCUUCAUUUCUUCAAUGUGAAAUUUUCAUGGGAAAUCCGCAACAAUUCUGUGAAUAUGGUUGCUGAUGUCUAAUUGAAUUCGUGACACUGAAUGCAACACAUUGAACAUUAAAAUCUGCGAAUAAAUUCUGGAGCAAGUUAUCUUGAAUCCUCAAUGAAUUUCUCCCAUGACGAGAUUAAUUACUAAUUGCACCCGCUAAAAAUUUUAGAAGUAGGACCACAACAGAACAUAAAAAGAAGAAAGAAAUUGCAGAACCAAUCGAUUAUAGGAAGUUUUCAUGCCUUCCAGGACAAUAUUUCGGUUUCAGCUAGACCUUGACAAGCUCAGAAGAACAACUGAUUCCCCAUGUAUGUUUUGAACUAGUUCCUAAGGAGCGAAAAUCAAUCCCCUAAUUGGUGCAGAAGUUAAUUGACGCACAGGAGUAGCAAUGUGUUUCAUAGAAUGCGACUUGUGGUUUAGACCAAAGCUAUUAAAGAUUAGAAACAGAUGGAAAAAAAUCAAUCGAGUCAGCUCCCUAGUGAGUUCAUCGAAAGGCUGUUUUCAUUGCGUAUGAAUGAUAAGUCGUGACUGAAAAUAAUAAAAACAACUCGAUCCGUUCCAAAUCUUUUCCUAAUGCAUCACUGAUUGCAUCGAAGUUUCGCACGCGGACCCAAUUCAUGCAAAAUGCGAAGAGAGAAAAUUACCAGAGAAGGGAUUCAGGUGAAGAUGAAGAAAACUAAAUGAAGAUGGCAGAGAAGGAAGAACCCUCGUUGGCCUCAGUCAGCUGCAACCAAAAUGGAAAAGGAAGACCACGGUCUAUUAACCCUUCGUGGGAACAGAGCGGCAGGCAGGAAGACGUGGUCGCAGUCCCCGGAGGGAGAUCUCCGCUGGGUCGGAUCGCGUCUCGUGAUUCGGCUAGGAGUCGCCGUCGCUGCUGGCUCUGGGCGAGCUUCUCGCUCGGGUCGUCGCUGAUGAGGGGAGGAAGACGAAGUAUGGAGAACGCGAGAGGGCGAGAGAGAGAGAGAGAGGAAGAGAGAGCGCAACGGAAGAAAAAUGAAAGACAAAAAAAAACAAAAAGAGAGAGAGAGAGAGAGAGAGAGAAAGAGAGAGAGUUGAAAUUUCUUAAGAGUGGGGUCCCACUUACGCACGUCAUUUCGAGAUAAUAUUCCUCACCACUCCAGUUCGAUAUCUCUUCUCCGUGAUCCUCUGCGCACGUAACCAUGCCUGUGAUAUCCGCCUACUCUCACUUUUUUCAAAUAUCUGUACUCAUCGGAUUUUAGGAUCUCCUCCAAUUUUUCACAAUCUUCUAUAGACGAGUACUGUAGCUUCUUGAAGCUUGAAGGAUCAGAAAACUUUCGCAGGGACCUGCACUUAAAAAUAUCAAGUCCCUUCAAUGAUUCUAGCCUACCUCGAAUCUCAACUAGACAAGGACAAUCAUAUAAGUCAAGAUGCUCGAGCUCCUUGUUGUUGGUCAGGUCAAGCAACUUAUCUAGCAACGGAAGACCCCACAAACAUAAGUCUAUUAAGUUCUCCGAAUUUUCCAGGCCUUGAAUCUUUUUCAACUUCGGACAGCGAGAUAUAUCUAAGUUUUCUAUAUGCUUGAAGGUUAGUGGAUCAAGCAGCUUUGCAAGUGAUUCACACUUCUCUAAAUAGAGCUCCUUCAACGAUUCUAGAUGACCUCGAACCUCAACCAAUUUAGGACAACCAACUAUCGCAAGGCUCCAGAGUUUCUUCAAGCCUGUCAAGUCAGGCAACUUCACAAGCAAUGGAAGAUUAGCAAGGUCAAGCCUCUGCAGGUUUUUCAAAUGUUCGAGGUCUUGAAUCUUUAUUAGCUGUUCACAACCAUCAUCUUUCAAUUCUAAUAACUUCCCCAAAUAUGAAAGAUUUAUCGACAUUAACUGCUGCCCAACAAAAUGGAAGUAUGACAAAUUCUGGGGAAGCCAAGGUAGGCAUCCUAGGCUAUUUAGGACAAGUUUGAGCUUCCUAAGCUUCGCGAGGAGAUUAAAAUUUGAAGGUAGGGUGACUAGACCAUCACCACCCAACCACAAGGACUCUAGCUUUCUUAACUCUCCAAUCCAAUUGAGGCUUGGAGCUAGAUCAAAAGGGUUUUGAUACUUCACUUCCAACACCAAAACUCUCAAAUUUAAUAGGUUCGAGAGAUCUGGACAUCUCAUCCGUCGAUUACCGGUCAGGUAUAGUUCGGUCAUACUUUCAGGAAGCUUAGGUAUAUUGGAAAUUCCCGUUCCCGUCAACCUCAAGAUUUUUAGAAACGACAAUCUUCUGAUCUCAGUUGGAAUUUCCCCAUACAAAAAUUGACAAUCGCCAGCUUCAAUCUCUUCAAGCUCUUCCAACAUCCCAAGGGCGCUAGGUAGCUUUUCUAAGAUGGAGUGAGAGAGCCUUAGUACUCUCAAAUUCUUCAUUGUCUCUAUUGAGUUGGGUAACUCUCGUAUUUUCGUCCAACAAAGAUUCAACUCAAUGAGAGAUCCAAAAUUUCCAAAUGGAAGUUCACUAAUUCCGGUACUUGUGAAGUUAAGAUAUGAUAGUGAUGUUGAGCAACCAGCUAAAUUGCAUUCACUCAGUAAUCUACAAUAAGCCGCACCGAGAGUUUCCAAUUUCUCCAUUCCUUUCCAUUCAGGAAUGUUGGUAAUAGAUGUGUGAUCAACAAGAAGUUCCGUCAAGGCUUCCAAUUCCUCCAUCUCGUCUGGCAAUGUGUGAAGUUUCCCACAAUAUUUCAAGUUUAAUAACACUAAAUGCUUUAACUCACCAAUAGACCUAUCAACUUGAACCAGUUCUCUGCACCCUUCAAGAAUCAAUUGCUCUAACUUUUGAUGAGCGGAAAAGUUAGGAGUUCUAAGCAAGUUUUUGCAAUCGGUCAAAUUUAGAACCUUCAAAUUCUCUGCCGUCUGUAAUGAAGAGAAGAGGUUGAUUCUGAAUCAUUUAGAGAUAUAGGGAAGCAAAGUCAAUAGAACAAAUUCAUUUUGAAAUAAUACCAUACCUUGAGGUGGUUCCAUCCCUCCCACUCAUCUGAAAUUUUACUCCUUGAUAGAUCAACAAUCACUAGCUUCUUAAGAGAACGUGCGGUGAACUUGAAAAAGAUAGGAAAGUUAUGCCAUGAGAGCCAUCUCAAUUUCGGAAGCAUGAUUGGAUUCCUCUGGACCUAGUUGGUAGAAGGAAAAUGCUGACCGUUGGUCUCCUCCGAGUCUACACAAUCCACUUGAAGAAAUCUUAAUUUUGAUAAGAUAGAUUUUCCAUUCUCAAUGGAGUCUUGAAAUUGAUGAUUAAACAUGAGACGUAUUGCUUCAACAUUUUUUCUUCCCUGCCAAAAAAAUAAUAAUAUCUAAAACUAAAUAGAAGCUAGUGAUCAUAUAAUUGCUUGUUGAAGGCAUUCAAGUUGAAUACAUUUGAGGAAUGUAUAUCUUAUAUAUAAUUUAAAAUUAAUUUACAAUAUAAUUUACAAAUGAGCAUGUCAUCGUACUAAGCACACAAGUAACGACUCGGUUCAGAUAGAAGCAAAUAAGCAAAGUCAACGUUUUUAACUCGUCUCUUUGAAUAGGAAUAACAGUGUGAACACCUUACCUCCUCUGUUUCUAGAACAUCAAUAGCUUCUUCAUGAUCCCACACCCGACUCUGCUUCUCUCUAGCUCUCUCACGAACGAUGACUCGCCCAAGGUCUCUUAACUGAUCAUGCACCCACAGUUGGUUACCUUUUGCGAUCUUUAUUAAUGACCUCUGUUUGAGGACUUCAAGAGAACAUUCAGGGAAAAACUCACAGCUGUCCCACAUGUAAGUCACAAUUCUCACAUUGAACCCAACAAAGAAGCAACAGACAUCAAGAAAUAUUUCCUGCUCUUGAGUUUCUAAUGCCUCGAAACUGAUGUUUAACUUAUUUUUAACCUUUUCAUUGGGAAUGGUCUCCAGCUUCUUUAACACAUUCUUCCAUUUAUUUAUGUCAUUUCUAUGCAAAAGUGAACCUAUAAUUUCAAGAGCCAAAGGAAGAUGACCACAGAUUUCUACUGCUUUUUGCGAGAGGGAGACAUAUUCUGCUGGAGGAGAAUCUCUUCCAAAGGCAUGUCUGCUAAACAGUUGAAGAGAAUGACCAAAAUCCAUUUCAGUAAGUUCAUGUUGAAAAUCAACAACUUUGAGAAGUUCCUUGUCUCUUGUAGUAAUAAUAACCUUACUUCCUCUGCUGAACCAACAUUCACCUGUCCCCACAAGAGCCUCCAGCUGAGUGUUUUGGUCGACAUCAUCAAGUAAAAGUAAAACCUUUUUAGAGGAUAACCUAUUCUUGAUUUCAGUAAUCCCUUCAUUAAUACUCUUGAUGGAUGGGCAUUCCUUUCUUAGGACGUCGGAGAUGAGUUGAUUCUGCAAACUAACAAUCUUUGUUUCUCGAAUGUUAGAUAGGAAGCAACAGUUAUCAAAAUCAGCCAACAGUUUAUUAUAGAGAAUUGUGGCAAGAGUUGUCUUUCCGACACCACCCAUACCAUAGAUACCAACAAUCUUUGUUCCGGUGGUCUGUUCGCCUAUCUUUUCCAUGAUUUGGUCCACUUGAUCAUCCAUUUCAACCAAGCAAUUAGUUACUGCCAGGUAGUUCUUUUUCAACUCGAUCAAAAGCUUCUGAACAAUUUCUUUUGUGAACUCGCCUUUGCCUCUGAUAAUGUGGAAGGCAACAGAACCAAACUGUUAAAUCAAGAUUAAGAGAAUAAUAUCUAAGGUACAAGCAAACCAUGCACAAUAAUAAAUUCAAGUACCUCUCCUUGAGUUCCCAUCCCUUUAAUUUUCCAACCUUGUUGAGAGCGGCCUUCCAGUUCUGAAUAGUCUCAUUAGUGUACAGCUGCUUAUUUACGUGUGACUGAAUGGCCUCGCCAUAAGUUCUAGUCUGCUUACGAACCUCGGAUGGUUCAACGUCAUAGAAAAUUGGCAUGAUCUCUUGUCCCCACUUUUCCUUGCACUCCACCAUCUGGACCAACUCCAUGAGGCACCAUUUACUGGCAGCAUAUUGUUUAGAAAAGAUAGGAAUCGAGAUUUUUGACUGCUUAAUCGCUUGGAGAAGCUCUGGGCCAAUAUCUUUCCCAACGCGAAGCUCUUCAUCAUCUCUGUAUGCUCGUAUUCCGGCAUCAACAAGGCUGUGGUAAAGGUAAUCAGUGAUGUCGCGGUGAGUAUCGGAUCCUCUAAAGCUCAAGAAUACUUCAUGAUAAGGUUCCAUUGGCUUCUCCAUUUCCUGAAUUUUCGAAGGACUUGCAACGACUUGAUAUCCCACCUGAAAAACAUUUACUAUGAAAGUGAGGUGAUGAUUAUCAUGAUUUCUCUCAGAAACUCUUCUCUUUAAAGUCAUUCUAAAAAGCAAUCUCAAUGAAAAAUGUGUGAGCUCCUUCUGGCAUUGCACUAGACACCAAAAUAUGUCCAAUUAUGGUAGAGAAGCUGACCCAGCUAAAUACUAAAGGAAGAAAUCUCCAACUUAUUGCGAAAUUAUGAGUUUUAGUUCGCACUUGAAAUUGAUUGGAAAAAAGGAAAAUUUAGAGAGAUAAAUCACUGUCAACAUAUUUUUGUCUUAAACUUUUUACUUAUGAGAUAAUUUUUUUCUUAAAAGGUAAAGUUGAAUGUCCUUUGCACAUAACCGCCUGCUGUGGCUUGUAGGUUGACUAAUUAUCUUAUUAUCUCAUAAGAAGUUAUGCCGAAACCGUCCUCUUUUAGUUUUACCAAAAUCGAUUUGACAAAAAGAUUCCACAAUAAUCGAUUGGCUGCUCACUUGAACUUAAUGGGCACAGGCAAAGAAUUGCAGUCCCCUAUGACUAAUAGUUAGGCACGAGGCUACUCUUCACAUCUAACAGACAGUAUCAGCAUAUCAGAAAAAGAGGAGCGGAUUACUAAUCACUUGUGAAGUUGAUAAAAAUUCAACAGAAAAAAGAAGCAUGAAUGCUAUAACCAUUUUUCCAGCAAAAUAAGUUUGACCACACAGGAGUGCCAGGAGUGCAGGGAUGACAGCUGCAUUUUAUGGAAGCGGAGACUUCCGGUUCACAAC
RNAcentral lists this long non-coding RNA (9854 nucleotides) under Eucalyptus grandis. RNAcentral's name for it is "long non-coding RNA (EGRA_LNC005935)". The record is from RNAcentral. Lineage: Eukaryota; Viridiplantae; Streptophyta; Magnoliopsida; Myrtales; Myrtaceae.